GUCCCUGUAGCGCAACGGAUAGUGCGUUGGACUUCUUAUUCAAAGGGCGUGGGUUCUAAUCCCACCUGGGAUG
This 73-nucleotide transfer RNA is filed under the name Trichonephila inaurata madagascariensis. It matches the Rfam family "tRNA". Rfam says of the family: Transfer RNA (tRNA) molecules are approximately 80 nucleotides in length. Their secondary structure includes four short double-helical elements and three loops (D, anti-codon, and T loops). Further hydrogen bonds mediate the characteristic L-shaped molecular structure. tRNAs have two regions of fundamental functional importance: the anti-codon, which is responsible for specific mRNA codon recognition, and the 3' end, to which the tRNAs corresponding amino acid is attached (by aminoacyl-tRNA synthetases). tRNAs cope with the degeneracy of the genetic code in two manners: having more than one tRNA (with a specific anti-codon) for a particular amino acid; and 'wobble' base-pairing, i.e. permitting non-standard base-pairing at the 3rd anti-codon position. The record is from Rfam by way of RNAcentral. Lineage: Eukaryota; Metazoa; Arthropoda; Arachnida; Araneae; Nephilidae.